AGUUUGGUUUGCUUGCAAACCAAAGCUGGCGACCGGCGCACGGGUGAGUAACACGUAUCCAACCUGCCUCAUACUCGGGGAUAGCCUUUCGAAAGAAAGAUUAAUAUCCGAUAGCAUAUAUUUCCCGCAUGGGUUUUAUAUUAAAGAAAUUCGGUAUGAGAUGGGGAUGCGUUCCAUUAGUUUGUUGGCGGGGUAACGGCCCACCAAGACUACGAUGGAUAGGGGUUCUGAGAGGAAGGUCCCCCACAUUGGAACUGAGACACGGUCCAAACUCCUACGGGAGGCAGCAGUGAGGAAUAUUGGUCAAUGGACGCGAGUCUGAACCAGCCAAGUAGCGUGAAGGAUGACUGCCCUAUGGGUUGUAAACUUCUUUUAUAUGGGAAUAAAGUGGUCCACGUGUGGAUUUUUGUAUGUACCAUAUGAAUAAGGAUCGGCUAACUCCGUGCCAGCAGCCGCGGUAAUACGGAGGAUCCGAGCGUUAUCCGGAUUUAUUGGGUUUAAAGGGAGCGUAGGCGGAUUGUUAAGUCAGUUGUGAAAGUUUGCGGCUCAACCGUAAAAUUGCAGUUGAUACUGGCAGUCUUGAGUGCAGUAGAGGUGGGCGGAAUUCGUGGUGUAGCGGUGAAAUG
Molecule: ribosomal RNA, 626 nt
Filed under: uncultured Bacteroidales bacterium
Lineage: Bacteria; Pseudomonadati; Bacteroidota; Bacteroidia; Bacteroidales
Description: bacterial SSU rRNA
Rfam family: Bacterial small subunit ribosomal RNA
Source: RNAcentral